AUGUCCCCCAGUGUUUGGAAACACAGCACUACUUCCUGCAACCCAGGCCUCUCUGUGGCUUGCUUCCCUCACGGCAUUGUAUUCCUGUGUCUCGCAGGUGUCCACCUCAUCCUGAUUGGAGGCUUCGUCCAGCUCCUGGCAGGAUUCCUUGCCUUCCGGAAGUAUGAUCACCUUGGAGGCACAGCCUUUCUGACCUUUUCUGCUCUAUGGAGUAGCUAUGGGGCUACACGCAUCAUUUCAGCUGCAUAUCCCCCUUUGCAGAACUUAACUCUGACCUCAGAGAAUGCCAGUCACCUCCUACCUGCUGCCAUGGCCCACCCCUCUGACAGUCAAAGUGCUGUGGCUGGGCUGGUGGCCUACAUUUCCAUUUCCUUUAUCCUCUCCUUCUGCUCAGCCACAGUGAACUACAUCAUGCCCUUCAUAUUUGGGGCCAUCACACUUGCCCUGGUGUUUGAAGCAGUUGCACUCUUUGGCCAGUGGGCUCUGGUAGUGUCAGGUGUCAUUGAGCUUGUCAUCGUCAUGUGUGGGUUGUACGGGGCAGUGGCUCUCCUGCUCAAGGGCAUCACACAACGGUACAUUCUUCCAGGAUUUGGGCAUCCACUCUUCAAUGUCUUGCUACUGGGGUCAGCACAGAAGACCUCUUCCAAGGCCAUUGGGGAAGAGAAGAAAAAGAAUACAAAGUAUGCUGAACCAAUGGCCCUAGGCAACAUCUGUGAUACUGUCUCUCCCUUUAUAUUUACUUUCUACUUCUUUGGAUACAUGAAGACCUUCUGUGUUGGAGCAGCAUGGAUAUCCAUCAUCUCCAGCUGUCAGUUGCUGUCCAGCUUCUACAGCUAUCUGAGAGAUGAUGCCUAUUACACUACCAAGUUUGGUGUCCAUAGCCUGUACUGGCUGGUGAUGUCUUGGGAAGAAUUUAUACUAACCACCUUYACUGGGCCAGAGAAAACUCAGGAAAGUAGGCUGGGAAUGUUUGGAGGCUGGUUCUUUCUGGCYGCUGCCUGCCUGCUGUUUCUGAUGUCAUUCCACAAAGAUACCCUAGAGAUGCUGCAAAAUGCCUCUUUCAUUGUCCUCACAACUGCCGCCAUCCAUCAGAUCCCAAUACCAGGUGCUUACCUAUUCCUUGGGGCUGCCUGCAGCCUUUGCACUGCCCUCUCAAUGUAUGCCACUUUUGCCAGCCUUAUCAACUCCAUUGGGGAGAAGGCUUUGAUACCAGUUGGUGUCCAGGCUAUGUCCAGCUCAGCUCUUCAAACCAAACUCAUGUUUGCCAAAGCCUGCUUCACAGGAUCCAAGAAUUUCCAAAGUAGCACCAAUGCUGAAGUGCCAGAUGCCUUGUUCUACAUCUGCAAUGGCCUGGCUGCAGUCUCUGCCAUCCAGGGUACUUUCAAUGACCCCAUCAGACAGCAACUUUCUAUACCCUCCGUGCUCAUCCCAGGAGCUGUAACGCAGCUGUAUGUGUGCAGGAUCCAGGUUCAACAAGGGAGAAGGUUUGGUUGCAUUCUUCCAUUCUGUUAUGCUGCCUUUUGGGGAGCAUGGACCUGGCUUCGAUUUGCAGGUAAUGCAAGAGUGUACUUACUGUUUUGCUUAUUCAAAACAAAUGGAUGUUUUUAG
Apteryx haastii (Great spotted kiwi) is the source of this 1608-nucleotide long non-coding RNA. The record is from Ensembl. Lineage: Eukaryota; Metazoa; Chordata; Aves; Apterygiformes; Apterygidae.